GAUGAAGAACGCAGCGAAAUGCGAUACGUAGUGUGAAUUGCAGAAUUCAGUGAAUCAUCGAAUCUUUGAACGCACAUUGCACCUCUCGGUAUUCCGGGAGGUAUGCCUGUUCGAGCGUCAUUUGUACCCUCAAGCUCUGCUUGGUGUUGGGUGUUUGUUCCGCCUCUGUGUGUGAACUCGCCUCAAAACAAUUGGCAGCCGGCGUACUUGUUUCGGAGCGCAGCACAUUUUGCGAUCCAGAUCAACGUACAGCGGCAUCCAAGAAGCCUUAUUUAACGCUCUUGACGUCGGAUCAGGUAGGGAUACCCGCUGAACUUAAGCAUAUCAAUAAGCGGAGGA
Molecule: unclassified non-coding RNA, 339 nt
Filed under: soil metagenome
Description: partial contains 5.8S ribosomal RNA, internal transcribed spacer 2, and large subunit ribosomal RNA
Rfam family: 5.8S ribosomal RNA (bases 1-120)
Source: RNAcentral